CACGUCUGGGCUGGCGUGCUGCACGAUUGUUGCCGUUGCCAGAGGUUGUUAGUUUACUGCGGAGUGAGCCAACUUUGUUUUGGCCGUGGAUAUUCCCCGUGUGGAUAGAUGAAUACCUGGACUACUGGCGUUGGGUGCCACGUUGGGUGCUGUGUGGUUGCGCGGAUUGCUUGCCCCCCUGCCGGGGUCUGAGGGUGGCGUGUCCCGAAAAGCGCAGGACCGAGCUACAGCCGUGUGCAUGCUGCUGUCGAGGCUGCUGGGUGCCACAGUUAUCUAAGAGGUUAACACUCCCUGGCGCGUUUCUCCUCCCACUCUUGCUGUUCUGGAUAUUGGUAUAAAAUUGUGUAUUGAUACAGUGUCUGGAUAUAUGACUGCCCUGGAUGCACAGAACUGGUUUGGAGUGAUACGUUCUAAGUGUUUGAAUAUCCAGACAUUGGUUCUGUAAAUAUUGGUAUUAACUGGAUGUACAUUGCAUGUGGGUUUGUUUGUGUUUGGUUUUUUUGUUUGAUUUUGAUCCUUUAAUUACGCAUGCGGGUUUGUUUUUGAAUGGUGUUUGUUUUGUUUUUUUCUCUAAUACGCACUACAUAUCUUUUUAAUAGGUAAACUGUAGUCCCUGCACUUCUCCCAUUGUGUUGGUGCGGAAAAAGGAUGGAAGUCUGCGCCUGUGUGUGGAUUAUCGCUUGUUGAACAGCAAGACUCGGAAGGAUGCAUUUCCUUUGCCGCGAAUAGAGGAAAGCCUUGAUGCGCUGUCGGGGCCCGCUGGUUUUCAACUCUUGAUCUUGCCAGUGGUUACAGCCAGGUCCCUGUUACAGAGCAAGAUAGGCCCAAAACAGCCUUUUGUACCCCUUUUGGCCUUUUUGAGUUUAAUCGCAUGCCGUUCGGCCUGUGCAAUGCGCUGGGCACCUUCCAGCGACUGAUGCAGAGGAUGUUUGGUGACCAGCAGGAUCAGUCUCUCUUGCUUUAUCUUGAUGACGUCAUCGUGUUUUCAUCCUCUGUAGAUCAACAUCUGCAGUGUCUUGAGAUGGUGCUUAAGCACCUCCAGACUGAAGGCUUGAAGGCUAGGCUGGAGAAAUGUUCCUUUUUCCAGCAAGAAGUAAAGUACUUAGGCCAUGUCAUCUCAGCCCAGGGGGUGUCUACUGACCCCAAGAAGUGUGAGGCUGUGUCUAAGUGGAAGCGGCCACAGAAUGUGUCAGAGCUGCGCUCCUUUUUGGGGUUUGCCAGCUAUUAUCGUCGAUUUGUUGAGGGGUUUGCCCAGCUGGCGGGCCCACUGCAUUGUUUGGUGGCUGAGAUGUCAGGUAAAAAGUCCAAGAAGGGCCUUAAUAAGGCUCUGGAGGCUGUGUGGACCCCACAAUGUGAGCAGAGUUUGGAGGGACUGAGACCGGCUUGUUUCCGCUCCUGUGUUUGCUUUUGCGGGCUUCAAGCGUCCCUUCAUUUUGGAGGUAGACGCUAGUUACAGUGGCCUGGGAGCUGUCCUCUCCCAGGAGACUGACAGUGGAGUGAGACCAGUGGCUUAUGCCAGCAGAGGACUUCGGCCGACAGAAUGCAAUACGUGACUUACAGCUCCAUGAAGUUGGAGUUCUUAGCCCUUAAGUGGGCUAUGAUGGAGAAGUUUCGAGACUAUCUGUUGGGUCACAAGUGCAUGGUGUACACCGAUAAUAAUCCAUUUUAGUCAUCUCCAGUCUGCUAAACUGGGGGCUACGGAACAAAGGUGGGCAGCUCAGGUUGCUGCUUUUGAUUUUGAGAUCAAGUACAGAUCCAGUUGUAGUAACCGGAAUGCUGAUGCUCUUUCCAGGCAGUAUGCGUCAGGUUUAGGGUCUGUUGUACCGUUGUUGCCAAGAGGCCAAGUUUCUCUUGAUCCGCAGUAUGGCCAACCGUCAGAGCAGCCUGUAGUAGCUACAUUGGCCCUGGUCUCUGCAUUGCCAGCUUAUUCAGUUUCUGACUUUCAGGUGCUACAACAGGAUCAUCCCCUGUUGAAGGAGAUUUUGGUGUUCUGGCGACAGAAAUCCCAACCUACCACAGUUGAACGGCGGCAUCUUUCUAAACCAGCUUUGAUGAUACGCCAGUGGGGGCGCCUGGUGGAGCGGGAUGGGGUUUUGUUCCGCCGGGUCCUCCGCCCAGACGGUGGGGAGGAAGUUCUCCAAUUUUUGCUGCCUGCAGCUCUCAAGCAGGAGACUCAGCGUCUGCUUCAUCAGCAACAUGGCCAUCAAGGUAUCAAAAGGACCACAGCGUUGGUCCAGCAGCGUUGUUAUUGGCCUGGGAUGUCUGCAGACAUCCGGAAUUGGGUGCAAGAGUGAACAGUGUCAGGUCGCUGUGCCUACACGUGAUCAGAGGGCCUGUGCAGUAGCCCAGGUUCUUGUGGCUGAGUGGUUCUAUAAGUUUGGCAUGCCAAGCCAUCUGCAUUAUGAUCAAGGGAGGAGCUUUGAAAGCACUUUGAUCCAACAACUUUGCUUGAUGUAUAGUGUAACUAAAUCUCGCACUACCCCUUACCAUCCGGCUGGAAAUGGACAAUGUGAGCGUUUCAAUCGUACGCUGCAUAAUCUCCUUUGAACACUGCCCCUGCCACAGAAGCGGGAUUGGCCUUCCUGUCUACCUUAUGUCCUUUUCUGCUAUAACACCACACCCCAUCAGGGUACGGGGAGUCCCCAUAUUAUUUGAUGUCUGGUCAGGAACCAAGGCUCCCGAUUGAUUUCCUCUUGGGGCGUGUGGAAGAACCAAGGCCAGGGGAUGUGCAAGGUUGGGUGGCAGAGCAUCAGGAGAGGUUAAGGGUGGCCUUCGAUUGUGCUCGUGAGCGGCUGCUAGCAACUGCAAGUCGUCGGAAGGAGUGGCAUGACCAACAGGUACGAGAUGUACCACUGAGUGUGGGACAGUUGGUGUAUGUGAGGGAUCAUGGUGCUAGGGGCUGCCAUAAACUGCAAGACCUAUGGAGCUCGGAGAUCCAUCAAGUGGUGACCACUUUAUCAGGAGGAGCAGUUUAUGCUGUGGCACCUGUGAAUGCACUGCAUAAAGUAAGGAAUGUACAUCGCGACAUGUUGAAGGCUGUGGUACAGCCAGUUGAGUCUGAUCCCCCUCCAACUGAAAUACCAUUAACCUUGGGUAUGGCUCAAUUCGAUGAGUCAUCAAACAGUGACCUGUGGCUAUGGAUGUCCGACGCUACAUCAGGUGCCCCAGCUCCUGGUCCUUUGGAAUCUCCUGCAGCAACUAGGCCAGAUCGGGGCCCACAGUUUCCAUCUUUUCAGCUGCAGUCGCAGUCGUUAUAGCCCACUCGUUUCUGCCACAAUAGGUACACUUCAACUGUGAGACGGAAUCAAACAAAUCCAGAAAAUCAUAUUGUAUGAUUUUUAAAUAAUUUGCAAUUUCAGCAGUGUAUCAAAUACUUGUUCUCCCCAUUGUAUACACAAGCGCAUGCACACAUAUAUAUUUGUCCUGCUUUCAAAACACCAUUCUGGCUGUAUUGUAUGUCAACUCAGUACAGGCUCUCAAAGCAGGAGGAACUGGAGCUCAAAGCAAUCCAGACGUCUCCAGUGUAUCACGGUAUGUUCACAUCUGUUGCACUCAUUAAAACGCCACUUCACUUCCUCUCUGUGAUCCAGGUCAGUCACUGGAAUACAUGUGGGUCAGAAAACAAAUUCCCUUUGUCUAACCACGUACUCUUGAGCUGAUUCCUUUUCUGUACCCCACAGGGUGGGUGUAUGUAUGUAUCUACUUUUAUGCAAUAUAAAUACUCAGUACCUCUGUACAUUAUCUUUUUCACAACUAGACACCCUUGACCAAUAUGUUUGUUUAUUGAACAGAAAGUAAUUUUUGUUAUAACAUUAACAGAUUUGUUUUUCUUUGAUAUCAAAAUAGUUUAUAACUAAGUAACAUUAUGAUGGACUGGUGAUCAGAGUGUGUUCCCUGCCUUCCAUUACAUAAUGGGAAUUACACCAGCCUAUGCUGCCCAUUGCUAAUAAUAAGCAGGUCAAGUACUGUACAUUGUAUGCAAGUAUGUAACUAAAUGCAAUACUAAUUCAGCUUCCCUACCAGGCUAAAGUUCACCAUUUAUUUGGCUAUAAACUGAAGAGUUUUAAAGCUUUGUCUUUCUGCCAUGAGCAGACUUAGCAAUGUUAAACAAACCAGUUCUUGAAUCAGUGCUGUUUAAGUGGGUCUACAAAAUGAAUUGUCUAAUUUUUAUUUCAGGCCAUCGCUGUAGCUGCUUAUCCAGAGUGACUUGCAAUGAACGAAGCAGCAGGGGUGACACAAAUGUUAUAGGAUGGUCUGUGUGACUACUUUGCAAACUUUCAUUAUCAUUGUAGGUUAUGAUGUGCAAAGGUCAUGACCUACUGGCUAACAAAUAAAAUCAACAAAUUGAACCAUCUACCAACUUAUUUCCUGUCAGCUCUCUGCCGAUAGGUUUCACUGUGCAGAGUAGCUACAUCCAGUAUUUGGUUGUGUUAUUGCCAUUACAGCAGACCUUCCCCUCACCCCAUAGUUCAUAUAGACCCUCACUUCCUCUCACCAGGUAAAAGGAAAUGGCUUUUCCACAUGUGUUCUACAUGAACUCACAUAUUAAGUGAGUCAAGUCUUGCUUUCUGAAAAUAAUAAGCUAGUUGGCUCCACAAUUAAACCUUUUUUCCCCACUGGCUGUAGUCCACAAGGCUGCAAACACUACAGUAUGUCCACUGGAGGUGAACAACAUCAUGCCUAUUCAUAUUUACAUAAUGGAUGAUAAAAACAUUCUGAAAAUCAGACUCAAAUCAAAAUACGUUACGCUUUUUAGAUGGUUGGUUAAACCGAAUUACAAAACUGCAUAUUUUCUUACCAUUAGUGUUAUCAAGCAGAUAGUUCUAGUUUAAUUUGCACAGAUUGAGUUAUUUACUUCUGAGACUUCUGCCAUUAUUCUAAUACAAUAGAAAUUAUAUAUAUUUCAUUUAUGGAGUGCACAGCGUUUGUUUUAAAACAUUCACAAGCAAUGUGUCUUUCCAGAAACAGUGUCCCUGUUUCAGAACAUGCCAUCAAUCGUUUUGUAUUUUUGUUUUCUAGUUCCAAAGAAAACGGUUGACAGUGAGAUCAAAAAUUAACAGUAUUAAACCGUAACAAUGCCCCACUUAUCCAGAGUAAGUGGGGCACUGUUACUGUUUAAUUUUUCACCUCUGUUGUAUUUAGAUAAGGAUGGAAAUCUCAAAACCUGUACAAAUAAAACCAAAGCUACCUGCAAGGCUUGAUACCACUAGAGGUAAAUGAAAAUGCUAUGUUUUGUUUGAUUUAGAAAUUUGGAUGAACUGACCCUAUAAAACAAUGUCCAAGUUCCAUCGCAAUGUACAAGAUGCCACAACUCUGUAUAUACAUUAACAAUUUCCCUGGAAUGUUGAUUCUGUAGAUUUGUUAUCCAUUUGUUGUUUAUCUAUUUAUUAAUACCAAACUGGCUUUACAUGAUGAA
Long non-coding RNA from Micropterus dolomieu (smallmouth bass), 5416 nucleotides. RefSeq lists it as uncharacterized. The transcript has 4 exons. Lineage: Eukaryota; Metazoa; Chordata; Actinopteri; Centrarchiformes; Centrarchidae. The record is from RefSeq and is a predicted model, not a curated record.